GAUGAACGCUGGCGGCGUGCUUAACACAUGCAAGUCGAACGGUGAAGGCGGAUUUUGCUUUGUUGGAUCAGUGGCGAACGGGUGAGUAAUACGUGAGCAAUCUGUCCCUGACUCUGGGAUAAGCGCUGGAAACGGCGUCUAAUACUGGAUACGAGCUGCGCAGGCAUCUUCAGCAGCUGGAAAGAAUUUUGUUCAGGGAUGAGCUCGCGGUCUAUUAGCUUGUUGGUGAGGUAAUGGCUCACCAAGGCGUCGAUGGGUAGCCGGCCUGAGCGGGUGACCGGCCACACGGGAACUGGAACACGGCCCGAACUCCAACGGGAGGAGGCGGUGGGAAAAUUGGCACAUGGGGCGAAGGCCUAAGGCAGAAACGCCGCGGGGGGAACGACGGCCUUCGGUUUGUAAACCUCUUUUGGCAGGGAAGAAGCGGAAGUGACGGUACCUGCAGAAGAAGCACCGGCUAACUACGUG
This 468-nucleotide ribosomal RNA is filed under the name uncultured bacterium. Its description in RNAcentral is "partial 16S ribosomal RNA". It matches the Rfam family "Bacterial small subunit ribosomal RNA", at positions 28 to 507 of the family's 1533-position model. The record is from RNAcentral.